AUUUAAUAGAAUUAAUUUUUAAUAUAGUCUGCUCAAUGACUAUUAAAUAGCCGCAGUUCAAACUGCGCCAAGGUAGCAUAAUCAUUUGUCUUUUAAUUAAAGACUAGAAUGAAAGACAUUACACUUCAAUAAAAUUUUAAUCUAAAUCUUUAAAUUUAUUUUAAAUGUUAAAAAACAUUUCUUUUUAAGAAAGACGAUAAGACCCUAUCGAACUUAACUUUAGUUAAACUGGGGUAGUUAAUUAAUUAAUAUUUUAAUAUUUAAUUUUUUAAAAAUGACCUGAUUAAAUCAAUUUAAUAAUCAAGUUACCAUAGGGAUAACAGCGUAAUAUAAUUUAAUAGAUCUUAUACAAAAUUAUGAUUACGACCUCGAUGUUGAAUAAUAUAUCUAUUAUAUGCAAUAAUAUAAAAAGAAAGUCUGUUCGACUUUUAAAUCAUUACA
Molecule: ribosomal RNA, 441 nt
Filed under: Caayguara album
Lineage: Eukaryota; Metazoa; Arthropoda; Arachnida; Araneae; Sparassidae
Description: partial 16S ribosomal RNA
Source: RNAcentral